UACGGAGGAUGCAAGCGUUAUCCGGAAUGAUUGGGCGUAAAGCGUCCGCAGGUGGCAAUGUAAGUCUGCUGUCAAAGCGUCUGGCUCAACCAGAUAAAGGCAGUGGAAACUACAUAGCUAGAGUAAGGUAGGGGUAGAGGGAAUUCCUGGUGUAGCGGUGAAACGCGUAGAGAUCAAGAAGAACACCGGUGGCGAAAGCGCUCUGCUGGACCUAAACUGACACUGAGGGACGAAAGCUAGGGGAGCGAAUGGG
Molecule: ribosomal RNA, 253 nt
Filed under: uncultured bacterium
Lineage: Bacteria
Description: partial 16S ribosomal RNA
Rfam family: Bacterial small subunit ribosomal RNA
Source: RNAcentral